CGUCAGCAAUGUGAAACUCAAAGGAAUUGACGGGGGCCCGCACAAGCGGAGGAACAUGUGGUUUAAUUCGAUGAUACGCGAGGAACCUUACCUGGGCUUAAAUGUAGAGUGCAUAGAGUGGAAACAUUCUUUCCUUCGGGACUCUUUACAAGGUGCUGCAUGGUUGUCGUCAGCUCGUGCCGUGAGGUGUCGGGUUAAGUCCCAUAACGAGCGCAACCCUCAUUGCCAGUUGCCAUCACAUCAUGGUGGGGACUCUGGUGAAACUGCCGGUGCAAACCGUGAGGAAGGUGAGGAUGACGUCAAAUCAGCACGGCCCUUAUGUCCAGGGCUACACACGUGUUACAAUGGUCGGUACAACGGGCAGCUACACAGCGAUGUGGUGCUAAUCCUAAAAACCGAUCUUAGUUCGGAUCGGAGUCUGCAANNNGACUCCGUGAAGCUGGAUUCGCUAGUAAUCGCACAUCAGCCAUGGUGCGGUGAAUACGUUCCCGGGCCUUGUACACACCGCCCGUCAAGCCAU
This 520-nucleotide ribosomal RNA is filed under the name uncultured bacterium. Its description in RNAcentral is "bacterial SSU rRNA". It matches the Rfam family "Bacterial small subunit ribosomal RNA", at positions 883 to 1405 of the family's 1533-position model. The record is from RNAcentral.